This 513-nucleotide ribosomal RNA is filed under the name uncultured bacterium. Its description in RNAcentral is "partial 16S ribosomal RNA". It matches the Rfam family "Bacterial small subunit ribosomal RNA", at positions 28 to 523 of the family's 1533-position model. The record is from RNAcentral.
GACGAACGCUGGCGGCAUGCCUAAUACAUGCAAGUCGAGCGAACAGAUGAAGUGCUUGCACUUCUGACGUUAGCGGCGAACGGGUGAGUAACACGUAAGGAAUCUACCUAUAAGCGGGGGAUAACAUUCGGAAACGGGUGCUAAUACCGCAUAAUAUCUUCUUCCGCAUGGAAGAAGAUUGAAAGACGGCUCUGCUGUCACUUAUAGAUGACCUUGCGGUGCAUUAGUUAGUUGGUGGGGUAACGGCCUACCAAGACGAUGAUGCAUAGCCGACCUGAGAGGGGGAUCGGCAACAUGGGGACUGAGACACGGCCCAAACUCCUACGGGAGGCAGCAGUAGGGAAUCUUCCGCAAUGGGCGAAAGCCUGACGGAGCAAUGCCGCGUGAGUGAAGAAGGCCUUCGGGUCGUAAAACUCUGUUAUAAGAGAAGAACAAAUUGUAGAGUAACUGCUACAGUCUUGACGGUAUCUUAUCAGAAAGCCACGGCUAACUACGUGCCAGCAGCCGCCGUAA